RNAcentral lists this ribosomal RNA (469 nucleotides) under uncultured bacterium. RNAcentral describes it as "partial 16S ribosomal RNA". It matches the Rfam family "Bacterial small subunit ribosomal RNA", at positions 27 to 507 of the family's 1533-position model. The record is from RNAcentral.
GGACGAACGCUGGCGGCGUGCUUACCCCAUGCAAGUCGAACGGAAAGGCCCUGCUUUUGUGGGGUGCUCGAGUGGCGAACGGGUGAGUAACACUUGAGUAACCUGCCCUUGACUUUGGGAUAACUUCAGGAAACUGGGGCUAAUACCGGAUAGGAGCUCCUGUUGCAUGGUGGGGGGUGGAAAGUUUCGUCGGUUGGGGAUGGACUCGCGGCUUCUCAGCUUGCUGGUGGGGUAGUGGCUUACCAAGGCUUUGACGGGUAGCCGGCCUGAGAGGGUGACCGGCCUCAUUGGGACUGAGAUACGGCCCAGACUCCUACGGGAGGCAGCAGUGGGGAAUAUUGCACAAUGGGCGGAAGCCUGAUGCAGCAACGCCGCGUGCGGGAUGACGGCCUUCGGGUUGUAAACCGCUUUCGCCUGUGACGAAGCGUGAGUGACGGUAAUGGGUAAAGAAGCACCGGCUAACUACGUG